UACGUAGGGUGCGAGCGUUGUCCGGAAUUAUUGGGCGUAAAGAGCUCGUAGGCGGCCUGUCGCGUCGGAUGUGAAAACUCGGGGCUUAACCCCGAGCCUGCAUUCGAUACGGGCAGGCUAGAGUUCGGCAGGGGAGACUGGAAUUCCUGGUGCAGCGGUGGAAUGCGUAGAGAUCCCCAAGAACACCAGUUGCGAAGGCGGGUCUCUGGGCCGAUACUGACGCUGAGGAGCGAAAGCGUGGGGAGCGAACAGG
RNAcentral lists this ribosomal RNA (253 nucleotides) under uncultured bacterium. RNAcentral's name for it is "partial 16S ribosomal RNA". It matches the Rfam family "Bacterial small subunit ribosomal RNA", at positions 524 to 776 of the family's 1533-position model. The record is from RNAcentral.